GCUGGUGGUGGUGGAUGUGUGGGUUGAACAUUACGAGGUUGAAGUCCCCCGUCUUUCAUCCAACAGGUUGCGGCUGACAGACGGUGCAGGCACUUGGAAGGAGCAGUGAGGCCAUCAUGCGGUGGAAACGUAGAACUGCACGGAGUUUUCCUGCUUGGGGAGAUCAUCCUCAUCUUCCUCAUCCUCCUCCCCCCCUGCGGUGCUCGGCGGUGGAGACAAGCUGAGGUGAUUCAAGCACACCGAGGGAGGCUCAACCGUGCCCGAGGGAGUAAACAAACAGGACAUUUAAACACCCCGACGAGGACCUGUCUGCCUUGACUCGCCAAGAUGGGGAACCGGGGCAUGGAGGAUCUGAUCCCCCUGGUGAACCGCAUGCAGGAUGCCUUCGCCGCCAUCGGCCAGAACGCCAACCUGGACCUGCCCCAAAUCGCGGUGGUGGGCGGCCAGAGUGCGGGGAAGAGCUCGGUGCUGGAGAACUUCGUGGGGAAGGAUUUCCUGCCACGUGGUUCUGGCAUUGUGACCCGUCGUCCUUUGGUCCUGCAGCUGAUGAACUGUCCCACAGAGUAUGCCGAGUUCCUCCACUGUAAGGGCAAAAAGUUCACAGAUUUUGAUGAGGUCCGACAGGAGAUUGAGGCGGAGACUGACCGUAUGACAGGUGCCAACAAGGGCAUCUCACCUGUUCCCAUCAACCUGCGUGUAUACUCCCCCCACGUGCUCAACCUGACACUGGUGGACCUUCCGGGCAUGACCAAGGUGCCCGUGGGUGACCAACCAGCCGAUAUUGAGGCUCAGAUUCGGGACAUGCUGAUGCAGUUCGUCACCAAGGACAACUGCCUGAUGCUUGCUGUCUCACCGGCUAACUCAGAUCUGGCCAACUCGGAUGCUUUAAAGAUUGCCAAAGAGGUUGAUCCUCAGGGUAUGAGGACCAUUGGUGUAAUCACCAAACUGGACCUUAUGGACGAGGGGACAGAUGCCAAGGACAUCCUUGAGAAUAAACUGCUUCCGCUCAGAAGAGGUUACAUCGGUGUAGUCAACCGGAGCCAAAAGGACAUAGAUGGAAAGAAAGACAUCACAGCCGCCAUGGCCGCGGAGAGGAAGUUCUUUCUCUCCCACCCUGCCUACAGGCACCUGGCCGAACGUAUGGGCACGGCUUACCUGCAGAAAAUCCUCAAUCAGCAACUCACCAACCACAUCCGGGACACGCUGCCAGCUCUGAGGGCCAAGUUGCAGAGUCAGCUCCUCUCCAUUGAGAAGGAGGUGGAGGAGUACAAGAACUACAGACCCGAUGACCCGUCCCGCAAGACCAAAGCUCUGCUCCAGAUGGUGCAGCAGUUCUCCGUGGACUUUGAAAAGUGCAUUGAGGGCUCCGGGGACCAAAUCGAUACGGCCGAGCUGUCCGGCGGCGCCAAGAUCAACCGCAUCUUCCACGAGCGCUUCCCCUUCGAGCUGGUCAAGAUGGAGUUCGACGAGAAGGAGCUCCGCAAGGAGAUCAGCUAUGCCAUCAAGAACAUUCACGGCAUCAGAACUGGCCUCUUCACCCCGGACAUGGCCUUUGAGACCAUUGUGAAAAGGCAGAUUGGGAAGAUUAAAGAGCCUUGCACCAAAUGUGUGGAUAUGGUCAUGUCUGAGCUAGUCAAUACAGUUAGGCAGUGUACCAAAAAGCUGGCUCAGUACCCCAUGCUGAGAGAAGAGAUGGAGAGAAUUGUGACUCAGCACAUCAGAGACAGGGAGAACCGCACUAAAAGCCAGGUGCUGCUGCUGAUCGACAUUGAGUUGUCGUACAUGAACACCAACCAUGAGGACUUUAUCGGCUUUGCCAAUGCUCAGCAGAGGAUCAGCCAGAUGAAUAAGAAGAAGGCAGCUGGCAAUCAGGAUGAGAUCAUGCCGGAGAGAGGAGUUAACGAUCGGUUCAAGGUGAUCCGAAAGGGAUGGCUGACCAUCAACAACAUUGGUAUCAUGAAGGGCGGAGCCAAGGAGUACUGGUUUGUCCUCACCGCUGAGUCGCUGUCCUGGUACAAGGAUGAUGAGGAGAAGGAAAAGAAGUACAUGCUGCAGGUGGACAACUUGAGACUGCGGGACGUCGAGAAAGGCUUCAUGUCCAGCAAGCACAUUUUCGCCCUCUUCAACACCGAACAAAGGAAUGUGUACAAGGACUACCGUCAGCUGGAGUUGGCCUGUGAGAGUCAGGAAGAUGUGGACGCAUGGAAGGCCUCCUUCCUCCGAGCUGGCGUGUACCCCGAGCGUGUCACGGAGAAGGAAGGCAAGAGCGAUGGAGGUGAUGAAAAUGGCUCGGACAACUUUAUGAACAGCAUGGACCCUCAGCUGGAGCGUCAGGUGGAGACCAUCCGUAACCUGGUGGAUUCCUACAUGGCCAUCGUCAACAAAACAGUCCGCGACUUGAUGCCCAAGACCAUCAUGCAUCUCAUGAUUAAUAACUGUAAAGAGUUCAUAAACGCCGAGCUGCUGGCCCAGUUGUACUCGUGUGGGGACCAGAACACUCUAAUGGAGGAGUCUCAGGAACAGGCGCAGCACCGCGACGAGAUGCUGCGGAUGUACCAUGCCUUGCGUGAGGCGCUCAACAUCAUCGGCGACAUCAGCACGACCACUGUCACCACGGCCAUGCCGCCGCCUGUGGACGACUCCUGGCUGCAGGUUCAGCGAGGUGGAUCCGGAGGAAGGUCUCCAGCCACCAGUCCCACUCCUAACCGCAGGGCGCCGCCAGGCCCCCCAGCGCGCCCCGGUUCCCGUGGGCCUCCUCCCGCUGGUGGACCCCCAGUACCAUCUCGCCCUGGCGCUUCUCCGGACCCUUACAGCGGGCCCCCGCCCACCGUGCCCUCUCGGCCUAACCGUGCACCCCCAAGUGUGCCCAGGGGGAUGUGAAGACACCAGGAUCAGGAGAAUCACUAUCACUGACCAAUGAGGACUAACCUGUUUCUGUCGGAGACCCCCACCUUCUCCGACCCACUAGACCGCCAACCUUCCCCCUUCCUUUCCUCCGCAUCUUUCCCUCCUCCCGGAAAUACGACGCCACGCGGCAACAGCGCCACCUUCCUGCGGCGGCUCCUACCUCUCUGCAAGACCAUCCCCCACCCCCUCGACCCCCAAGUCACCGCCAUCCCUACCCCCAACAAUACCACCUACGACAUACACACCUGCUGCAUGAUAGACCCCUGAAUAUGUACUGUAGAAGUGACAUGUAUACAGUAUAAACAGUACAGUACGUCCAUAUCACUACUGCAAGACACUAAGAAAGGAGCGGAAGGGAAUAUUUAACACUUUUCGGCAUCACUUUCUGCUACACGCUACGUAUGACUAGGGUUCCAAAAUGAUGUUCACUUUCAACGUUGACUGAAAGUGGCGUCAACUACUUGAAAAGUUCAUCAAAUAAGUAUGUGAAAGAAAUAAGAAUAGUAAACAAAUAGGUCCAGUAUAACUAGUUAAGAUUAUAUUUCAUUAUUGUAAAUCAUUCCAAGACAAUUUAAUGGAUUAUUUCAGACUUUAAUGAUUUAUUUAUUGUUACUGACUUUAUAUUUCAUUCAUUUUGACACAAAUGAAACGCUUCAAAAUGGAAAUGUCCAUUCAGCUAAGGUGUUCUCGUUAAAUGGAUAAUUGCAAAACUUCCGUGGACUAUUUUCAGAAAAUGUACCUCGACAUUUCUGCCCCCCACGCGAAUUAUUAGACUUUUUCAUCUAUUUUUCCUACUUUUGGUACUUAAGUAAGCAUUAAGUCGACAUAGUUGAUAGAAUAAGUCAUUAAUAAAAGUAAUGGGAGGUUUUAUUUCACCAUUUGAACGAUAAUAAAUGAUUUCGCAUUUUUGUCAGUUAUUUGAUUCAUCCGAUAAUUACAUUUUUUUUUUUAUUUGGACCCAAAAAUCUCCAUGUAAUCUUGGUUACAAUACAACCCCCCAAAAAAACGAGAGAAAAUUUGAAAAAAUUUAUAUUCCAGGAAGCAUUUUCCAAAAAUAAAUCCACAAUAAAUGAAAGGUUUCUGGGAACGUACCCUCCAAAAAUGUUUUUUUGUUGUUGUAUUAUUACUUUAAAGAAUGUAUUUCAUACAUAAUGAACACACCCUUGUUAAAAUAACUGUUUUUUCUCAUGUAUAAAAAUAUCUAAUUAAACCAUUUAAUAUAAAUAAAUAAAUAGCUGAGUAAUGACGUUGGAAAUGAAGCAAAUCUAUUAGAGGAGAAAAUAUACAAAAAUGUAUGCCAAAAAAUGACUUGAUGUUGGGCCACAUUGGGUGGGGAAAAAAAAAUCUGAGAUUUUGAGAAUAAAGUCGGAAAUUUACGAGAAAAAAGUUGUAAAUUUGCAGGAAUAAAGUCGGACGUUUACGAGAAGAAAAAAAAAACGUAAUAUUACGAGUAUCAAGUUGUACAUUUGCGAGAAUAAAGUUGGAAAAUUGAAAAAAGAAUGAAGAAAAAAAGUCGUAAUAUUACGAGAAAAACGUUGUAACAUUACCUUUGCCCAAGGCCAAAGGUCACAAAACCCCCUUUUCGUAGCUGUUUCAGGCAAUGCCUGUUACGACGGAGUAUUAAAUUAAUCUGAGAUUUUGAGAAUAAAGUUGCAAAUUGACUAGAACAAAGUCGUAAUAUUACGUGUCAUGGUGUCAUACGAGCUCUUCAGGAGGGAAAGAAACUAUCCUCUUGCGUCGGCAAACGUUUGUUUAUAACGUGGCAGCAAAACAGCGCAGUUGAGCACAAACAGAUUAGCAUGUCCAGCCCUUCUCACUUACGCCUUCCUUGCCCCGCCCCCUGCACAUGCCCAAGGACAAAGUCGCACAGGUUUCAUAGCUGUCUCAGGCAAUGCCUGUUGUUUCUCGGAAAUUUGCGACUUUAUUGUCGUAAUAUUAUGAGUUUUUUCCCGUACAUUUACGACUUUAUUGUCGAAAUCUCAGAUUAUUUUAAUACUCCGUCGUAACAGGCAUUGCCUGAGCGCUAUGACAAGGGGGGACUUUUGUGACCUUUGGCCUUGGGCAAAGACAAUACUUCGACUUUUUUCUUGUAAAUUUACGACCUUUUUCUCGUACAUUUCCGACUUUAUUCUCGAAAUGUCCGAUUUUUCUUUUUCAAUGUGGCCCAAACACUCAUUUGUAAUUAAUGUCAACUUUAUGCCACUUUUAGUUUAAUUGACUUGCUGUUUGCCUUAUUUGGUUUGCUCCAGGUGCGUCCACCGAUCAGCCAAUCAGCCGCUUGUCCCUCUUUGGCCCCUCCCCCGCCCACCCCGCC
RNA transcript from Dunckerocampus dactyliophorus (ringed pipefish), 5221 nucleotides. It is a transcript of the gene named dynamin 1a, with no coding region annotated. The transcript is spliced from 26 exons. Lineage: Eukaryota; Metazoa; Chordata; Actinopteri; Syngnathiformes; Syngnathidae. The record is from RefSeq and is a predicted model, not a curated record.